CUGGUUUUUUUUUUUUUUUUUUUUUUUUUUUUUC
RNAcentral lists this non-coding RNA (34 nucleotides) under Prorocentrum micans. Lineage: Eukaryota; Dinophyceae; Prorocentrales; Prorocentraceae. The record is from RNAcentral.